UGGCACUCUCCUCGCUCGAUCCCCUUUGUCCUUCCACGCGCCGCCACCUCUCUCUCUUCCUUCCCCGAUCCAGAUCGAAGACGACGGCUCCCGCUGAUGGGAUCCCACCGCAUCACUCUCCCGCCAAUGGGAUCCCACCGCAUCGCUCUCCCGCCUUCCACCCCACCGCAUCGCUCUCCCACCGUCCACCCACACUGGCCGUUUCGCUCUCGCUCGCACCUAAUCCAGAUCCCGAUCCGCAGCAACGUCGCCAACAUCUCGGGGCCCUCCGAUCCCACCUUUCCCUUCUGACCCCGAGGCAGCCGGCCAAGGUCUACGGCAGCGAGGGCAGCGCCUACUACGAGUGGAGCCCCGCGGAGCUGCCCAUGCUCGGUGUCGCCUCCAUCGGAUGCCAUGGCAGACGCGGCUGGGCAUCACGCUGGACUGCGCUCGCCCAUCGCCAGCAGCACCACCCGUCCUCUCCCUCCCAUUGACCCACCUACCAGCACCGGCGAUCCAGAUCGUCUCAGUUUAAGGACAUUCUGUGGAAUGAAGGAAGUGAAAGAAGUCGUAGUGGUGCGCGAUCCAUCCUACGAAAAUGUAUUUGAAGGAGUUCUAGGCUGAAGACAUUCGAAGAAGCUCGAAGCCCCAGUCAGCAACUUGCUUUAUAUGUUACUGAAUUUGCAAUGCUGAAUUUCUUGAGAAAUUUGAUGUACUGCUGAACAUGUUGGGAAUUUGGUGUAUAUUUGGUCGCUUAACUUGUUAUUUAAAUGUUGUUGGUAGUUAUGUAGAUAUACUGAGAAUAUUUUUUUUGACUAAAAAUAAGUUGACAUUUUGAUCAUUCUCCCCGGGCACGUCACAGACCCCGACGACUGCAACAGAUUUGUUCAGGCCACAGUCGACCACUACGGCCAAUGGACGGCUCGGAUUUGACGUUUUUGGUGUCUUACUGGUUUUCGGGGUGGGGGUGGUGCAGUGGCCGCAUGAACACGCUCAGGGGCAUCAUCGGCCGGGCGCUCAGGAGACAGGCGAGGUGGUUGCUGCCCACCCAGAAAGUCUGCAACAUGGGGGAGUCCAUCUUUGGCCGUCCCAAGCACGACCAUGAUAGACCCACAACGGCAGGCAGUUCACUGAAAUUCAACAACAUCUGGUGGUCGUCAAGUCAAGGAACCUCUUCUUGCCGCGGCCGUCCUCCUCCCCCUGCUCUGCUCUGCUCAACAACUAGCAUCCACGGCUAAAACAAAGGGCGACUAGUGAUGCAACACAUCAAGCAGCAGCAGCAGGGGGGAGGGGGUCUCUCGAACAUCGACGUUGCCACUCAUUGCUACUGUCGUUGAUUGAUGAUGGAUGGCCGCUGUUAGUUUAGCUCCUUGGUAGUCCACUCUUGCAAGCGUCUACAAUUGCUGGCAGAAAUAGAAAUGGUAGCUCUAGUCCCAUGUUGUAGUUCCAUGUAGUUCCUUUGCUCGGACUGUCCUUUGUUGCUUCAUUUCUAUGUUAAUUCAGUCUUUGUUGAAUGUGUCUAUUGUCGUGGCUGUGUAAUGAAUCCUUUUGUGUUGAAAGAAAUAAAAUGGUUUGGAUACAUGCAUA
This is a long non-coding RNA of Triticum dicoccoides, 1566 nucleotides long. RefSeq lists it as uncharacterized. Lineage: Eukaryota; Viridiplantae; Streptophyta; Magnoliopsida; Poales; Poaceae. The record is from RefSeq and is a predicted model, not a curated record. The transcript is spliced from 6 exons.